GAUGAACGCUGACAGAAUGCUUAACACAUGCAAGUCGAUGGGGAAGUGGUGCUUGCACCAUGGUAACCAUGGCGGACGGGUGAGUAACGCGUAAGGAACUUACCUGCGGGACCGGGAUAACAGCAGGAAACUGCUGACAAGACCGGAUAAGGUCAUUAAGCUGCAUAGCUUAGUGAUGAAAGGAGACGCCUGCGGAGAGCCUUGCGUCCUAUUAGCUAGUUGGAGGGGUAACGGCCCACCAAGGCGAAGAUAGGUAGCCGGCCGGAGAGGGUGGACGGCCACAAGGGGACUGAGAUACGGCCCUUACUCCUACGGGAGGCAGCAGGGGGGAAUAUUGGACAAUGGGGGCAACCCUGAUCCAGCAAUGCGGUGUGCACGAAGACGGUUUUCGGAUUGUAAAGUGCUUUCAGCAGGGAAGAAGGAAGUGACGGUACCGGCAGAAGAAGCGACGGCUAAAUACGU
RNAcentral lists this ribosomal RNA (462 nucleotides) under uncultured bacterium. Its description in RNAcentral is "partial 16S ribosomal RNA". It matches the Rfam family "Bacterial small subunit ribosomal RNA", at positions 28 to 506 of the family's 1533-position model. The record is from RNAcentral.